CUUUAACUUCAUUCUGCUGGUGAACUCUGACAAUAAGUUGAUCAACACUUUGUGUGGCAGAACAGAUGAGACCGUGAUCUACCAAGAAUGCCUCCACACAGAUCCCAAAGGCAUUGAAGUUAACGGCCCAGGGUAACAUUGGACAGUGGGGAGAUUCAUUGGAUUGGAAUUCAUCCUAGGAAAGCUGAUAGCACUAGACUGUGCACAGAGGGACGCAACAAAGCUUCAAGAAGAGACAAGCAAAGCGACGGAGAAGGCGACAGGGAAGUUGAAGGAAGUACUGGAUCACUGCUCAGAUGAUUUGUUUAUGGCACAACAUGACUUUGAUCCCUUGACACGCUACGUUCGAGAGGGAUACUACAGUAGUGCAAGGGACGUGCUCACCGGAGAGACCAUUCCUCGCAUCCUCAAUUGCUUGAAAGUCUUCGACCAAUUCCCAGAUUUGCCUGCCCCUCCUUUGCUCCUUUCUGGCACUGUUGCUUCUAAUCAAUCUCCCUACGAUGCUGCCUCUAUCUUGGCCAACAUUUAGGGUUUGAAUUUUUUUAAAGUUCUCUGUGUCGUGCGAGAAAUUGAUGAUUAAUGGAAUGAUUAUAUUAGUACUUUUCCUGGCCAGCAUUACGUUUGAUGUGUCUGUCUGUAUAUGAACUUUGAACAGAGCCUUUGGCUUCUCAGCCUCUCUUUUAAUUUCAAAUUAGAAGCUCAGAAAUAAUGGUUGUUAGUACUUUCUUAAAUCCCAAGGUUUAGCUCAUU
Prosopis cineraria is the source of this 750-nucleotide long non-coding RNA. RefSeq lists it as uncharacterized. The record is from RefSeq and is a predicted model, not a curated record. The transcript has 3 exons. NCBI's taxonomy places the organism in Eukaryota, Viridiplantae, Streptophyta, Magnoliopsida, Fabales, Fabaceae.